GCCGUCGUAGCGCAAUGGUAGCGCGUCGCUUUCCUAUCUAUGUCAAUGACAGAGCGAGGUAAAGGCGAAGGUUGCGAGUUCGAUCCUCGUCGUCGGUA
RNAcentral lists this transfer RNA (98 nucleotides) under Desarmillaria tabescens. RNAcentral's name for it is "Armillaria tabescens (ringless honey mushroom) tRNA". It matches the Rfam family "tRNA". Rfam says of the family: Transfer RNA (tRNA) molecules are approximately 80 nucleotides in length. Their secondary structure includes four short double-helical elements and three loops (D, anti-codon, and T loops). Further hydrogen bonds mediate the characteristic L-shaped molecular structure. tRNAs have two regions of fundamental functional importance: the anti-codon, which is responsible for specific mRNA codon recognition, and the 3' end, to which the tRNAs corresponding amino acid is attached (by aminoacyl-tRNA synthetases). tRNAs cope with the degeneracy of the genetic code in two manners: having more than one tRNA (with a specific anti-codon) for a particular amino acid; and 'wobble' base-pairing, i.e. permitting non-standard base-pairing at the 3rd anti-codon position. The record is from Rfam by way of RNAcentral. Lineage: Eukaryota; Fungi; Basidiomycota; Agaricomycetes; Agaricales; Physalacriaceae.